Molecule: transfer RNA, 66 nt
Filed under: Aleochara nubis
Lineage: Eukaryota; Metazoa; Arthropoda; Insecta; Coleoptera; Staphylinidae
Also listed under: 1 other name
Description: partial tRNA-Leu
Source: RNAcentral
UAUGGCAGAAUAGUGCAAUGGAUUUAAACCCCAUAUAUAAAGUUUAAACUUUUUUUAGAAUAACUA